UACGUAGGUGGCAAGCGUUGUCCGGAUUUACUGGGCGUAAAGGGCGUGCAGGCGGUUUGUUAAGUCUAGGGUGAAAGCUCCCGGCUCAACUGGGAGAGGUCCUUGGAUACUGGCAGACUUGAGGAGGGUAGAGGAGAGUGGAAUUCCCGGUGUAGUGGUGAUAUGCGUAGAUAUCGGGAGGAACACCAGUGGCGAAGGCGGCGCUCUGGGCUGGAACUGACGCUGAGGAGCGAAAGCGUGGGGAGCGAACAGG
RNAcentral lists this ribosomal RNA (253 nucleotides) under uncultured bacterium. Its description in RNAcentral is "partial 16S ribosomal RNA". It matches the Rfam family "Bacterial small subunit ribosomal RNA", at positions 524 to 776 of the family's 1533-position model. The record is from RNAcentral.